UCUAAAAAGACCCUGUUUCUGAAGAGAUAUGACCAGAAUGUAAUCAUUCUGAAGUACGGGGGUUAGGACUUCAAUGUCAUUUUUAGGGAGGAAAACUGAACCCGUAACAAAACAUAAGCCUUAGUAACCGGAGAUGGAACUCACAGCUGAGCCACCAUUUCUUAAACCCUUAUUUUCUCAGAGGAAUUAAAAAGUCUGGGAUAAGUGAUAUUUCUCCGGAAAGCAAAUUUUUCCUCGCCAUGAUAUAACCUGCAGUGGGCCAGACUCACAGCCUGGGAGGACAGACCAGACUUCCCCAAAACUAAAACCACUCUGGAGCUGCAGCAGUCUUCGUUUGAUGAGGACAAACCACAGACCCCAUCAGGAAAGCUGGGGAGGGGACGGAGAAGGAGGCUAGCAGAGCCUCUGAUCAUACUCUGGGUGCCCGUGGGCCACUGACAGACACCCUGUCCAUCAAAACUGCUCACCCCAAGAAAAUGAUCAAUGACAAGCAGCCCGUGGUGAGAUCCUGCAACCGCAAAAUGAUUACAGCUCUGAAGCUGAAUUAAAAAGAAGUAAAACCAUAAUGAGCAGCCAAGAGGAUGUCCCCAGGGGUCCAGAUGACAGAAUGAAGCAUGCAUGUUGGGAAGAUGAUCAGAACAGGCACCCGGGCCCCUGUGGGGUCAAGGGCUUUGCUCUCCCCUACAUGGGAGCUCUGCAGGCUGUUCUUCCCACUGCACAGGGAGCCUGGGUUUGCAACCUGUCUCCCCUCCAGGCCUGCGCAACACUAUCAAGACCAGCAGCCUCCAUCAGCAGGAUUCUUUUUGUUCUCUCUUUCUUCUUCCAUUUAUCCACAAGCCUGACUGAGAGCCCAUGUUAUGCGCAGCUGCCAAGAGUCCAAACCAAGGAGUUAUUCUGCCCAGAUUCUGGAAUCCGGCCAGAUGUGGUACAGAAUCCCAACCCUACUACUCACCUGCUCUGUGACCUCAAGCAGUGAUUCAGCAUUUUCUUCACCACAUUUUCCUGUUCAGCAAAAUGGAGACCAUAAUGCCUACUUCACAGGGUCUGUGAAGAAUUAAAUGAUCUACUUUAUGAAGAUGACUAACAGUUCCACGUACAUAAUGAGUAUUUGAUAAAUGCUAGCUAUCAUUGGAUUCAUUUUGUUCUCACAAGUUAUUAAUUAUUUGGACAUAUGGACAAGCAGGAGAGGAAAAUCAUGUUCAUUUACCCACCACUCUGAUAGUGCAAAAUCAAACAACACUGAUCCUGUUCCCUGGAGAUGAGUCAUAUAGCCAGAAUCUGUUAGCAACUGGUAAUGUCCUCUCCCUUUGCCUGCAUUUGGGACAUGCCAGCAUUAUGCAAGCCAACAGUGCCUUGCUGAUGUCUGUGUGGCUUUCCUAAUCGUUUUGGUAUGGUUAAGAGUAGAAAAUAAUCACAUACUUUUCUAUUCUAUUAUCCUUUUACAAACAAAAUUGAGAUAUGUAAACAUGAGAUCUUAAAAAAAGUGGGUUUAAUAGUUUCACCGAAGAAUAUAUUGAAACAAUGCAAGUAGAAUAAGGUUUAAAGAAACAGGCUGGGCGCAGUGGCUCACUCCGGUAAUCCCAGCACUUCGGGAGGCCGAGGGGGGGCGGAUCACGAGUUCAGGAGUUCAAGACCAGUCUGACCAACAUGGUGAAACCUCAUCUCUACUAAAAAUAAAAAAAUAGCUGGGCGUGGUGGCACAUGCCUGUAAUCCCAGCUACUCAGGAGGUUGAGGCAGGAGGAAUCGUU
Molecule: long non-coding RNA, 1749 nt
Organism: Rhinopithecus bieti (black snub-nosed monkey)
Lineage: Eukaryota; Metazoa; Chordata; Mammalia; Primates; Cercopithecidae
Source: Ensembl